GCGUGCUUAACACAUGCAAGUCGAACGAGAACGGGUUAUAGCUUGCUAUAACUGUCAGCUAAGUGGCGCACGGGUGAGUAAUGUAUAGUUAACCUGCCCUCGAGAAAGGAAUAACAGUUGGAAACGACUGCUAAUGCCCUAUAUGCCCAUAAUACAAAAGUAUGCUGGGGAAACGCUUUAGUGCUCGAGGAUGGGACUGUAUGGUAUCAGCUAGUUGGUGAGGUAAUGGCUCACCAAGGCAAUGACGCCUAACUGGUUUGAGAGGAUGAUCAGUCACACUGGAACUGAGACACGGUCCAGACUCCUACGGGAGGCAGCAGUGGGGAAUAUUGCACAAUGGAGGAAACUCUGAUGCAGCAACGCCGCGUGGAGGAUGACACUUUUCGGAGCGUAAACUCCUUUUAUAUAGGAAGAUAAUGACGGUACUAUAUGAAUAAGCACCGGCUAACUCCGUGCCAGCAGCCGCGGUAAUACGGAGGGUGCAAGCGUUACUCGGAAUCACUGGGCGUAAAGAGCGUGUAGGCGG
This 526-nucleotide ribosomal RNA is filed under the name uncultured Campylobacterota bacterium. RNAcentral's name for it is "bacterial SSU rRNA". It matches the Rfam family "Bacterial small subunit ribosomal RNA", at positions 42 to 578 of the family's 1533-position model. The record is from RNAcentral. Lineage: Bacteria; Pseudomonadati; Campylobacterota.